Molecule: long non-coding RNA, 315 nt
Organism: Megachile rotundata (alfalfa leafcutting bee)
Lineage: Eukaryota; Metazoa; Arthropoda; Insecta; Hymenoptera; Megachilidae
Source: RefSeq, a predicted model, not a curated record
CCAGAGGAUAGAUCAUUGUAACGAACGCCAUUACGGACAUCGACAGGGCAUUGUAGUCGCGGGAUUGCAACACGAUCUGAAAGAACCAUUAUUCUAAUUGCUAUUCUAAGAUAUCCGGUUGCCCACACAAUAUUCACCCUUGAACGGUGAAUCGCAAGAAAGAUCAACUUUCAACCUUUAUUCAAUGAAGAAAAGUAUGAUCUGCAGAGACUAAUUGAUCAUUAAGUUAAUUCCACGGACCCGAUUGCUUUUCUAUGAGUUAUGUAAGUGUUACCUUGUGCUCCAAGAGAAUCAACGUGAGGACCUUCAAGCAUA